GUACAUUUGGACCAGUGGGAAAUGGUGUUCACACUGGCCCUGAAUCAAGGGAACACCAGUUUUCACAUGCUGGCAGAAGCAAUGGCCGGGGACUUAUAAAUCCACAACUACAAGGAACAGCUAGUAAUCAAACAGUGAUGACCACAAUAAGUAAUGGCAGGGACCCUCGGAGAGCCUUUAAAAGAUGACCUAUGCUAAAUACUCAUGUGUAGUUUUUAUACUACAUGCCCUACUUGAACACUUAUUGCACUUUUAUUUAUUGUUAACUGUGAAAAGUACGUCCUUUAUUGGGUUUCCUUUUAUAUUCUUGGUUUGUUAAGAAGAAUGGUUUGUUUUUAUAGCAAAACUGUUAAGCUGCUCGAGUCUCCUGUUGAAGAAUGGGAACACUGAAAAGUAGGGGCAUUUAUUUUUAGAGUAAAAAGAUUAUUGGAUAGCCUUUAAAAAACCUGCACCCAUUUCAUGGGUGAGUUACUUAAGACAUCAGCUUUAUAGCCUCUAUGAGUCUAUCUUCUGUAUAAGUUUUGUAAUAUUUAACAUAAGGCUUAAUGGGAGAUGUUCUUUUGUCUUGUAUUCAGAUAUUGCCAACUAAAGCAAUAACCAUCAAAAAACACAAGAACUUGUCAAUGCUAGCAGUAAUUUUUGAGUGUUUGUGGCUCUCGGAAUGAUUGACUUCGUUCAGUGACUACUAUUAAGAUUUUCCAAGGACUGACUCAUCCCAAAUUUUUGUUGUAUUACCAAAAAAACAGAUUCCUUAUCAGAAUUUGGAAUAGAAUGUGAUCUCUAUUGCAACAAGUAAUUUUAAAAGAAAGCUACAUUUAUUUUAGAGUAGUGCUCCUAACAUGUAUUAUCAACUUUGUGGAUUACAUUGGAGGAAAAUUUAAAACUGGGGCCUUGAAUAUUUAUUUUUUGAAACUACCAUGUUAAAUACUGAAGUAUAAUUUGGGGGAGUUAUAAAGUUAUGAUAAACAUUCAUCUGAUUAUUUUAAACAAUAGUUGUGGUAGAUAAACAUACUGGAGGUGAGUCAAAUUGAAUUCAUAUAGUAACAUGCAGUCUGAAGUCCUAGUUACUUAAUAGGUACUCAGCCUGGAGUGAAAAUCCUGGGUACUGACUUUGAGAGGAGUGAGUGUGCAUGUUGUCAAAGUUUCUGAACACAGUUCACAUAGCCUUAUUAGCAAAAGUUUUAAGAAAUGGCUCUAUCAAAGAAGCAAUUGCAGCUUUAUUCAGAAAUAUAAAAGUGGAAUUUAUGUACAUGUCAUAAGUGGUACCCACUUCCCCUUUUUACUGUAGGGUGGAUAACUCUUAGGAUUUAACUCUUUGAAUAUUAUCUCUUGAAUAAAGCAUGUGUUAAUGUU
This 1353-nucleotide long non-coding RNA is filed under the name Homo sapiens (human). RNAcentral describes it as "long non-coding RNA NONHSAT183324.1". Lineage: Eukaryota; Metazoa; Chordata; Mammalia; Primates; Hominidae. The record is from RNAcentral.